AGAGUUUGAUCCUGGCUCAGAUUGAACGCUGGCGGCAUGCCUUACACAUGCAAGUCGAACGGCAGCACGGGGGGUAACCCCUGGUGGCGAGUGGCGAACGGGUGAGUAAUAUAUCGGAACGUGUCCUGUAGCGGGGGAUAACCUAUCGAAAGAUGGACUAAUACCGCAUACGACCUAUGGGUGAAAGCGGAGGACCGCAAGGCUUCGCACUAUAGGAGCGGCCGAUAUCGGAUUAGCUAGUUGGUGGGGUAACGGCCUACCAAGGCGACGAUCCGUAGCUGGUCUGAGAGGACGAUCAGCCACACUGGAACUGAGACACGGUCCAGACUCCUACGGGAGGCAGCAGUGGGGAAUUUUGGACAAUGGGCGCAAGCCUGAUCCAGCCAUGCCGCGUGAGUGAAGAAGGCCUUCGGGUU
Molecule: ribosomal RNA, 416 nt
Filed under: uncultured bacterium
Lineage: Bacteria
Description: bacterial SSU rRNA
Rfam family: Bacterial small subunit ribosomal RNA
Source: RNAcentral